This 468-nucleotide ribosomal RNA is filed under the name uncultured bacterium. Its description in RNAcentral is "bacterial SSU rRNA". It matches the Rfam family "Bacterial small subunit ribosomal RNA", at positions 917 to 1382 of the family's 1533-position model. The record is from RNAcentral.
GGGCCCGCACAAGCGGUGGAGCAUGUGGUUCAAUUCGAAGCAACGCGAAGAACCUUACCAGCCCUUGACUUGGGGAGUGUGGGUCGCAGAGACGUGACCCUUCAGUUCGGCUGGCUCCCACACAGGUGCUGCAUGGCUGUCGUCAGCUCGUGUCGUGAGAUGUUGGGUUAAGUCCCGCAACGAGCGCAACCCUCAUCUUCAGUUGCCAUCGGUAUGGCCGGGCACUCUGAAGAAACUGCCGGUGACAAGCCGGAGGAAGGCGGGGAUGACGUCAAGUCCUCAUGGCCCUUACGGGCUGGGCUACACACGUGCUACAAUGGCGGUGACAAUGGGAUGCAAAGGGGCGACCCUGAGCCAAUCCCAAAAAGCCGUCUCAGUUCGGAUUGCACUCUGCAACUCGAGUGCAUGAAGUCGGAAUCGCUAGUAAUCGCGGAUCAGCACGCCGCGGUGAAUACGUUCCCGGGCCUU